CCUACGGGAGGCAGCAGUGAGGAAUAUUGGUCAAUGGCCGAGAGGCUGAACCAGCCAAGUCGCGUGAGGGAAGACGGCCCUACGGGUUGUAAACCUCUUUUGUCGGGGAGCAAAGCGAACCACGUGUGGUUCAUUGAGAGUACCCGAAGAAAAAGCAUCGGCUAACUCCGUGCCAGCAGCCGCGGUAAUACGGAGGAUGCGAGCGUUAUCCGGAUUUAUUGGGUUUAAAGGGUGCGCAGGCGGAGGUGCAAGUCAGCGGUCAAAUUGCGGGGCUCAACCCCGUACUGCCGUUGAAACUGCAUCCCUUGAGUGCGCGAGAAGUAUGCGGAAUGCGUGGUGUAGCGGUGAAAUGCAGAGAUAUCACGCAGAACUCCGAUUGCGAAGGCAGCAUACCGGCGCUCAACUGACGCUGAGGCACGAAAGCGUGGGGAUCGAACAGGAUUAGAUACCCUGGUAGUC
This 459-nucleotide ribosomal RNA is filed under the name uncultured bacterium. RNAcentral describes it as "partial 16S ribosomal RNA". It matches the Rfam family "Bacterial small subunit ribosomal RNA", at positions 338 to 795 of the family's 1533-position model. The record is from RNAcentral.